This 74-nucleotide transfer RNA is filed under the name Actinopolymorpha singaporensis. Its description in RNAcentral is "tRNA_Pseudo_???". The record is from RNAcentral. Lineage: Bacteria; Bacillati; Actinomycetota; Actinomycetes; Propionibacteriales; Actinopolymorphaceae.
CCCUGGCUAGCUCAACGGAAGAGCGGGCGAUCCGGCAAGAUCGUCCUGUCGCGGUUCGACUCCGCGGCCAGGGU